UACGGAGGGUGCAAGCGUCAUCCGGAUUCACUGGGUUUAAAGGGUGCGUAGGCGGGCAGGUAAGUCAGAGGUGAAAUCUCCGGGCUCAACUGGGAGAGGUCAAGGGAAACUACCGGGCUAGAGUGUGGCAGAGGAAGCUAGAAUUCCCGGUGUAGCGGUGAAAUGCGUAGAUAUCGGGAGGAAUACCUAUGGCGAAAGCAGGCUUCUGGGCCGUCACUGACGCUGAGCUGCGAAAGCUAGGGGAGCAAACAGG
Molecule: ribosomal RNA, 253 nt
Filed under: uncultured bacterium
Lineage: Bacteria
Description: partial 16S ribosomal RNA
Rfam family: Bacterial small subunit ribosomal RNA
Source: RNAcentral